GCCGGUCCCCGUGAGGAUCCAGACCCAUGGCUCUCACGCUCUCCUGUGUCAGAGUGGGGUCGGGGCUUCCUGCCACUUCGCCCAGGGUCUGGAAGAUUCGAUUGUUCUGCUCCAAGAAGAACCUGAGGAAGUGGAGGUCACUGGGGCUCCAGCGAUUCCCAGACAUCGACGGGCGAGGGCAGGAUAAACCCAAAAAAUCAACCCAAUUUUUCAUGUCAUAUAAUAAUCACUUUAAGGAAAAUUAAUCAAUCUCUGUUUAACCAAUUUUAUGACAACUGGUAGUAGGAAAAAGUGACAGGUUCUGGUACUUGCUUAACUUUCCAUAGUCCUGAAGAGGCAGGAAUUCGAACCCAAACCCGACCUGAUUAGCAGCUAGGCUGGACCUGACUUGCCUGUUCCUGAGCCAAACACACCCCACCCGGGGUGCUGUUGGUCCUGUUCAACUGUGCCUGUGUACUUACAAAACAGGACUCUGUACAGCAGUACCAUUCAGACAUGACUGAGGCGGCCCCUGUGUGUUUUUAAGAAGCAGAGGCGGGAACAGGAACUGCGCACAACAUGGGAAUGUCAUCAGACGUGAGCUGUUCACUGGCCGUGGUAAAUAAAUGAUGUACUCACAGAAUAAACAGAUCCUCCUCACUGGACACACAGUCGCCAUUCUCCUCCUUGACAGAACAACUACAACUACUACUGGGUGGCAGCAGAUGG
Long non-coding RNA from Cynoglossus semilaevis (tongue sole), 708 nucleotides. RefSeq lists it as uncharacterized. NCBI's taxonomy places the organism in Eukaryota, Metazoa, Chordata, Actinopteri, Pleuronectiformes, Cynoglossidae. The record is from RefSeq and is a predicted model, not a curated record. The transcript is spliced from 4 exons.